Brienomyrus brachyistius is the source of this 731-nucleotide long non-coding RNA. RefSeq lists it as uncharacterized. The record is from RefSeq and is a predicted model, not a curated record. The transcript has 4 exons. Lineage: Eukaryota; Metazoa; Chordata; Actinopteri; Osteoglossiformes; Mormyridae.
AUUGCAGACGUCGUCGUCUCAGAGCCGGUUCUGUGAACUUGCGAUUUGUAUCCGCAGUUACGGCCCUGCAGUGUUUGGACGCUCUGCAGGCUCCAUGCAACCCCGGGAGGAAACACGAGUAAUAAAGGAGGCACCUGUCAUUCAGAGACCACAGCCAGGUACCACGGUCAGGCGAAGCCAAGCGGCGCUGUGAAGUGAAUCCAGUAGCACAGAACAGGAGAAGAGCAUUUAGUUUACAAUGACACUGUGAGCACGGCUGUCGACCCCCCAUGUGCCGGCAAACAUUACCGCCACCAACGCUUCACCUGCAAGGACACCCAUUUGUUGGAUGGAUCUGAAUUAAAUAAAUGCAGUGGGUCUGCUGCCGAAGUCACCCUGAACACGAGACUCCGGUGAUCAGGCACUGGAGGAGCUGAGAAGACAGUUAAUGCCACAAAAGACACAUUCUUUUAAAAAAAAAAAAAAACACCUUUCUGACGCAAGCUUGGAGGUGUGACUGCGACAGCAGCAUCUUUGCUUUCUCUCCACCAAAGAUCUGGAAUGUCUGCUAGUAGACCAUUAACACCUUUUUUUUUUUUUUACUCCGACAAGCAAAGAGUGCGCUUCCCUGACAGCGAGCGAGCUUUUCCACGACUCGGGGAGUGCGCAUGACACAGUCUCUCUUCGACACCCCAAGGAGACACCUUCCAUCGCUUGUCACAGUCACAUGCGAGGUUCCGGAGAUCCGCUGU